Molecule: microRNA precursor, 88 nt
Organism: Bos taurus (domestic cattle)
Lineage: Eukaryota; Metazoa; Chordata; Mammalia; Artiodactyla; Bovidae
Source: Ensembl
UAUGUAUUGGGUUGGCCAAAAAGCUUGUUCAGGUUUUUACAUGAUGUUAAGGAAAAACUCAAACAAACUUUUGGACCAAUCCAACAUG